CAAGGCUAACCCUGAACAGAAGCACAUCUUACUGAGAUUCUAAUUUAAGGAACGGCAGAGUGAUGCUCCAGCAAUGCAGUAUACCUAGCCAGUUUAAGGCUAUUUGUUAAACGUGAAUACAUUUAUGAUAUAGUGGAUUGGAAGAGAUAUAACAUCAUCUCGGAAAAUUUCUACUGCUGGAUAACACACUUUGAAGGGUCUCUUUGGUGUCACAAAUGUGCUGUGGAGCUGUGGACAAAACAGAACUCCUCCAAAGCAGGGAUUGUGGUUAUUUUAUACCUGUGAUUCUUAGCCACACAGUGUCUGAGCUGAACUAGAUUUCAAAGAAUACUUAGAAGGUAAGCAGCACAAGAACUAUUUUUGGUUCUGUAAACUCUUUCCUCUAUAUAACUGAAAUAUAGUGA
RNAcentral lists this long non-coding RNA (404 nucleotides) under Chinchilla lanigera (long-tailed chinchilla). Its description in RNAcentral is "lncRNA (ENSCLAG00000028813.1)". Lineage: Eukaryota; Metazoa; Chordata; Mammalia; Rodentia; Chinchillidae. The record is from RNAcentral.